RNAcentral lists this ribosomal RNA (539 nucleotides) under uncultured bacterium. Its description in RNAcentral is "bacterial SSU rRNA". It matches the Rfam family "Bacterial small subunit ribosomal RNA", at positions 94 to 630 of the family's 1533-position model. The record is from RNAcentral.
AGCGGCGGACGGGUGAGGAAUACAUAGGAAUUUGCCCUUAAGUGGGGGAUAGCCAGGGGAAACUCUGAGUAAUACCGCAUGAUCUCGUGAGAGCAAAGCAGGGGACCGCAAGGCCUUGCGCUUUUGGAGAAGCCUAUGUCGGAUUAGCUAGUUGGUAGGGUAAUGGCCUACCAAGGCGACGAUCCGUAGCUGGUUUGAGAGAACGAUCAGCCACACCGGAACUGAGACACGGUCCGGACUCCUACGGGAGGCAGCAGUGGGGAAUAUUGGACAAUGGGCGCAAGCCUGAUCCAGCAAUGCCGCGUGUGUGAAGAAGGCCUUCGGGUUGUAAAGCACUUUAGGCAGGGAAGAAAAAAUCGGCGAUAACAUCGCCGGUCUUGACGGUACCUGAGGAAUAAGCACCGGCUAACUCUGUGCCAGCAGCCGCGGUAAUACAGAGGGUGCAAGCGUUAAUCGGAUUUACUGGGCGUAAAGCGUGUGUAGGUGGUUGGAAAAGUCGAUUGUGAAAUCCCUGGGCUCAACCCGGGAACUGCUUUCGG